GGCGGGACACGUGGUAUCCUGUCUGAAUAUGGGGGGACCAUCCUCCAAGGCUAAAUACUCCUGACUGACCGAUAGUGAACCAGUACCGUGAGGGAAAGGCGAAAAGAACCCCGGCGAGGGGAGUGAAAAAGAACCUGAAACCGUGUACGUACAAGCAGUGGGAGCCUCUUUAUGGGGUGACUGCGUACCUUUUGUAUAAUGGGUCAGCGACUUAUAUUCUGUAGCAAGGUUAACCGUAUAGGGGAGCCGAAGGGAAACCGAGUCUUAACUGGGCGUUAAGUUGCAGGGUAUAGACCCGAAACCCGGUGAUCUAGCCAUGGGCAGGUUGAAGGUUGGGUAACACUAACUGGAGGACCGAACCGACUAAUGUUGAAAAAUUAGCGGAUGACCUGUGGCUGGGGGUGAAAGGCCAAUCAAACCGGGAGAUAGCUGGUUCUCCCCGAAAGCUAUUUAGGUAGCGCCUCGUGAACUCAUCUUCGGGGGUAGAGCACUGUUUCGGCUAGGGGGCCAUCCCGGCUUACCAACCCGAUGCAAACUACGAAUACCGAAGAAUGUUAUCACGGGAGACACACGGCGGGUGCUAACGUCCGUCGUGAAGAGGGAAACAACCCAGACCGCCAGCUAAGGUCCCAAAGUCAUGGUUAAGUGGGAAACGAUGUGGGAAGGCACAGACAGCCAGGAUGUUGGCUUAGAAGCAGCCAUCAUUUAAAGAAAGCGUAAUAGCUCACUGGUCGAGUCGGCCUGCGCGGAAGAUGUAACGGGGCUAAACCAUGCACCGAAGCUGCGGCAGCGACACUAUGUGUUGUUGGGUAGGGGAGCGUUCUGUAAGCCGUUGAAGGUGUGCUGUGAGGCAUGCUGGAGGUAUCAGAAGUGCGAAUGCUGACAUAAGUAACGAUAAAGCGGGUGAAAAGCCCGCUCGCCGGAAGACCAAGGGUUCCUGUCCAACGUUAAUCGGGGCAGGGUGAGUCGACCCCUAAGGCGAGGCCGAAAGGCGUAGUCGAUGGGAAACAGGUUAAUAUUCCUGUACUUGGUGUUACUGCGAAGGGGGGACGGAGAAGGCUAUGUCAGCCGGGCGACGGUUGUCCCGGUUUAAGCAUGUAGGCGGAGGUUCCAGGUAAAUCCGGUACCUUUUAACGCUGAGGUGUGAUGACGAGGCACUACGGUGCUGAAGUGAUAAAUGCCCUGCUUCCAGGAAAAGCCUCUAAGCAUCAGGUAACAUCAAAUCGUACCCCAAACCGACACAGGUGGUCAGGUAGAGAAUACCAAGGCGCUUGAGAGAACUCGGGUGAAGGAACUAGGCAAAAUGGUGCCGUAACUUCGGGAGAAGGCACGCUGAUGUGUAGGUGAAGCCCCUGCGGGCGGAGCUGAAAUCAGUCGAAGAUACCAGCUGGCUGCAACUGUUUAUUAAAAACACAGCACUGUGCAAACACGAAAGUGGACGUAUACGGUGUGACGCCUGCCCGGUGCCGGAAGGUUAAUUGAUGGGGUUAGCGGCAACGCGAAGCUCUUGAUCGAAGCCCCGGUAAACGGCGGCCGUAACUAUAACGGUCCUAAGGUAGCGAAAUUCCUUGUCGGGUAAGUUCCGACCUGCACGAAUGGCGUAAUGAUGGCCAGGCUGUCUCCACCCGAGACUCAGUGAAAUUGAACUCGCUGUGAAGAUGCAGUGUACCCGCGGCAAGACGGAAAGACCCCGUGAACCUUUACUAUAGCUUGACACUGAACACUGGUCCUUGAUGUGUAGGAUAGGUGGGAGGCUUUGAAGCGUGGACGCCAGUCUGCGUGGAGCCGACCUUGAAAUACCACCCUUUAAUGGCUGGUGUUCUAACGUAGACCCGUAAUCCGGGUUGCGGACAGUGUCUGGUGGGUAGUUUGACUGGGGCGGUCUCCUCCCAAAGAGUAACGGAGGAGCACGAAGGUUGGCUAAUCCUGGUCGGACAUCAGGAGGUUAGUGCAAUGGCAUAAGCCAGCUUGACUGCGAGCGUGACGGCGCGAGCAGGUGCGAAAGCAGGUCAUAGUGAUCCGGUGGUUCUGAAUGGAAGGGCCAUCGCUCAACGGAUAAAAGGUACUCCGGGGAUAACAGGCUGAUACCGCCCAAGAGUUCAUAUCGACGGCGGUGUUUGGCACCUCGAUGUCGGCUCAUCACAUCCUGGGGCUGAAGUAGGUCCCAAGGGUAUGGCUGUUCGCCAUUUAAAGUGGUACGCGAGCUGGGUUUAGAACGUCGUGAGACAGUUCGGUCCCUAUCUGCCGUGGGCGCUGGAGAAUUGAGGGGGGCUGCUCCUAGUACGAGAGGACCGGAGUGGACGCAUCACUGGUGUUCGGGUUGUCAUGCCAAUGGCACUGCCCGGUAGCUAAAUGCGGAAGAGAUAAGUGCUGAAAGCAUCUAAGCACGAAACUUGCCCCGAGAUGAGUUCUCCCUGAGACUU
Molecule: ribosomal RNA, 2423 nt
Filed under: Enterobacter hormaechei
Lineage: Bacteria; Pseudomonadati; Pseudomonadota; Gammaproteobacteria; Enterobacterales; Enterobacteriaceae
Also listed under: 2 other names
Description: partial 23S ribosomal RNA
Rfam family: Bacterial large subunit ribosomal RNA
Source: RNAcentral